This 253-nucleotide ribosomal RNA is filed under the name uncultured bacterium. RNAcentral's name for it is "partial 16S ribosomal RNA". It matches the Rfam family "Bacterial small subunit ribosomal RNA", at positions 524 to 776 of the family's 1533-position model. The record is from RNAcentral.
UACGUAGGGGGCAAGCGUUGUCCGGAAUCACUGGGCGUAAAGCGCGCGCAGGCGGUCAUCUACGUCUGGGGUGAAAGCCCGGAGCUCAACUCCGGGAUUGCCUUGGAUACGGGAUGACUUGAGGAUCGGAGAGGCAAGGGGAAUUCCACGUGUAGCGGUGAAAUGCGUAGAGAUGCGGAGGAACACCGAUGGCGAAGGCAGCCCCCUGGGUCGACACUGACGCUCAGGCACGAAAGCGUGGGGAGCAAACAGG